Molecule: ribosomal RNA, 335 nt
Filed under: Klebsiella variicola
Lineage: Bacteria; Pseudomonadati; Pseudomonadota; Gammaproteobacteria; Enterobacterales; Enterobacteriaceae
Also listed under: 1 other name
Description: partial 23S ribosomal RNA
Rfam family: Bacterial large subunit ribosomal RNA
Source: RNAcentral
GAAUGCUGACAUAAGUAACGAUAAAGCGGGUGAAAAGCCCGCUCGCCGGAAGACCAAGGGUUCCUGUCCAACGUUAAUCGGGGCAGGGUGAGUCGACCCCUAAGGCGAGGCCGAAAGGCGUAGUCGAUGGGAAACAGGUUAAUAUUCCUGUACUUGGUGUUACUGCGAAGGGGGGACGGAGAAGGCUAUGUUAGCCGGGCGACGGUUGUCCCGGUUUAAGCAUGUAGGCGGAGGUUCCAGGUAAAUCCGGUACCUUUUAACGCUGAGGUGUGAUGACGAGGCACUACGGUGCUGAAGUAACAAAUGCCCUGCUUCCAGGAAAAGCCUCUAAGCAU